RNAcentral lists this unclassified non-coding RNA (207 nucleotides) under Hevea brasiliensis (rubber tree). Lineage: Eukaryota; Viridiplantae; Streptophyta; Magnoliopsida; Malpighiales; Euphorbiaceae. The record is from RNAcentral.
AAAAACUCUAUGCUCCUUUUGAGAACAUUUACAAACAAUUUUAUAUUCAAACCACUCUUUCCUGACCUAUUAUUUCGUGUCAACGCAACUUCUGUACCGUUUUUCGUUUCAUGAUUGUUGGGAAGAGACCAUCAUCAACAUUGCAAACGCGAGAACUACAACCAUUCAGUAAUAAGUUACAGCCAUCUACUGGCUGCCAUGUUGAUU